This is a long non-coding RNA of Eriocheir sinensis (Chinese mitten crab), 829 nucleotides long. RefSeq lists it as uncharacterized. Lineage: Eukaryota; Metazoa; Arthropoda; Malacostraca; Decapoda; Varunidae. The transcript is spliced from 3 exons. The record is from RefSeq and is a predicted model, not a curated record.
UGCAGGGGCCCAAGGCUGUUCCGGGCUAACAGUUUUCCUUCUGAGCCAGGUGUUAUGCUCCCCCCCCUUUCACAGUGUAGUCAGGAGAAGCGAUACGCAAGAUGUUAACUCCGUCUUUAAUAUGCACUUCAGCUCGCACAGCCCACGGAAGACAGGUAGGACGGCCGGUGUGGUAAGGCCGCUCACACAGCCCACGGGAGACAGGUAGGACGGCCGGCGUGGUGAGGCCGCUCAUACAGCCCACGGAAGACAGGUAGGACGGCCGGUGUGGUAAGGCCGCUCACACAGCCCACGGGAGACAGGUAGGACGGCCGGCGUGGUGAGGCCGCUCAUACAGCCCACGGGAGACAGGUAGGACGGCCGGCGUGGUGAGGCCGCUCAUACAGCCCACGGAAGACAGGUAGGCAGGCCGGCGUGGUAAGGCCAGCAAGGGCGGCCCGGGUAUUUGGUCUCGGGGCCAACAGUGUCUUCCCCGGGUAGACCGCGGCGGUGCUACGGCUGAGUGAUGGAGGGCAGUGCCGGGCCGGGCGUAACGCGGCAGCAGCCUCGUCAGGUGGAGGACUCGUUAGGUGGUGAAGGGGAGCCAGUGCCUAGCGAGCUGGCUCGACCGAGUCCUGGAGUCGUCUCCCGUCCUCAGCGCACCAACGUCCGAGGUUGCUUCGGCUGCUGACGUCAGGGCCCCCCCACUCGCGCCGGUGGAGCUCGGGCAGGGCGUUCGAGGCGUUCCGCUGCGGGUAGUGUGAAGCCUCGCUCGGGAUGAGUGUAGGUCGAGUGAGGUGUUCCGGGGCUAUGUUGGAGUUGAGGAGUUAAUAGUGGUCUUCCUUUUACA